RNAcentral lists this ribosomal RNA (253 nucleotides) under uncultured bacterium. Its description in RNAcentral is "partial 16S ribosomal RNA". It matches the Rfam family "Bacterial small subunit ribosomal RNA", at positions 524 to 776 of the family's 1533-position model. The record is from RNAcentral.
GACAGAGGAUGCAAGCGUUAUCCGGAAUGAUUGGGCGUAAAGCGUGCGCAGGCGGUUUUGUAAGUCUGUCGUGAAAUCCCCGGGCUCAACCUGGGAAUUGCGAUGGAGACUGCAAGGCUGGAGUCUGGCAGAGGGGGGUAGAAUUCCACGUGUAGCAGUGAAAUGCGUAGAGAUGUGGAGGAACACCGAUGGCGAAGGCAGCCCCCUGGGUCAAGACUGACGCUCAUGCACGAAAGCGUGGGGAGCAAACAGG